CUCUCUUUAGGUGCCACACCACCAGUGGUUCGUGCCCAGCUCCCAGCAUAUUGGGAAUCUGAGAUCACCUCCUUGCUGCGUAAGCCCAGCGCCCGGAGAGUUCAGGCAUUUGGGAGAUACCUCAGGCCAGCUGAGAGGACGGGCAUCGUCCUUGUGGCCAUCGAGAUCCUGGGCCGCUCCAGCCUCCUGGACAAGAAGGCACCCAAGGAGUUUCUGGAGGUGGCCAUGGAAUCCCCUCAGCUGUGGCUGAUGGAUGUAAGUGGCCUGUGGCUGGAUUGCUCUGCCCUUGAGCUCUGUCAGGUUCCUGCCU
This 310-nucleotide long non-coding RNA is filed under the name Corvus moneduloides (New Caledonian crow). Its description in RNAcentral is "lncRNA (ENSCMUG00000020011.1)". The record is from RNAcentral. Lineage: Eukaryota; Metazoa; Chordata; Aves; Passeriformes; Corvidae.